Molecule: non-coding RNA, 1196 nt
Filed under: Rhodnius prolixus
Lineage: Eukaryota; Metazoa; Arthropoda; Insecta; Hemiptera; Reduviidae
Description: Eukaryotic large subunit ribosomal RNA
Rfam family: Eukaryotic large subunit ribosomal RNA
Source: Rfam by way of RNAcentral
CGACCUCAGAUUAGGUGGGAUUCCCCGCUGAAUUUAAGCAUAUUAGUAAGCGGUGGAAAAGAAACCAACAGGGAUUCCCUUAGUAGCUGCGAGUGAACAGGGAUUAGCCCAGCACUGAAUCCCAAAAGCAUUGCUUUUAGGGAAAUGUAGUGUUUGGGAGGGCUCAAUUAACCCCAAGAUAUGUGCAUUUCGCCCAAGUCCAUCUUGAACGAGGCCACGGUCCCGAGAGGGUGCCAGGCCCGUUGUUGGCAAAUGUCUAUUUCGGGUGGGCCUCUCCUUAGAGUCGGGUUGCUUGAGAGUGCAGCCCUAAGUAGGUGGUAAACUCCAUCUAAGGCUAAAUACAACCACGAGACCGAUAGCGAACAAGUACCGUGAGGGAAAGUUGAAAAGAACUUUGAAGAGAGAGUUCAAGAGUACGUGAAACCGCUCAGGGGUAAACGGAAAAGACCUGAAUAUCCGGAAGGGGAGAUUCACGUCUUACCACAGAAGAUUUAUUAGAAGAUGAAAAUGACUCUGAUUCUUCAGUGCUUUCCUCGAAAUCUAGCAGAUCUGUUAAAAGGAAGAAAACUCCCCUAACUUUGGACACUUUUUUAAGGCCAAAAACUCCUCCAAGUUGCGACAAAGCUUGAAAGUUCCUUCUACCCCGAAAGCGGAAGAAGAUAGGGUGUUGAGUGUUUAUUCAAAUGUGGAAUUAAAUUCAUUCAAAAAAGAUGCUGUGUAUAAUGUGGUCAGUGCUAGUGAUAAGUUUUCUAAUAUUAAACUCGCCUUCUGGAAUAGUUCAGGCUAUAAAAAUUUUCUAGAAAAUUGUAGUUUUUUGUUACAGCAUGAUAUCAUCUGUUUAAGCGAAACUUGGCUCACACAUAAUAUUGUAAGUUUGCCUGAUUUUCUAAAAGGUUAUAACGUUUGUCAGUCCAAUGCAAUUAAAGAAAAAAAUAAGGGAAGAGCAAAAGGCGGCUUAUUAAUUCUUGUAAACAAAAAAUUUGGUGCUGUUGAAAUUAUAAAUAAAACGGAUUUUUGGAUUCUUGUAAAUGUUAAAUUCCCAGUCGUAAAUUUUGUUAUUGGCUUGAUAUAUUUCAGUCCCGCUAUAAAUAUUAAUGAAAAAUUAAUCUUAUUUGAUGAGCUCAUACUCAAACUAAACACUUUGGAUUGUCCUAUAAUCUUAGGGGGCGAUUUUAACUGUCGUGUUGGUUGUUAAA